UCUUUAUUCUAUGCAGUUACACUCACCGUUAUUUUUGUCAGGGCCAGCCGUUAAGUUCCUGACGCGUGUUCGUUCAUGAAUGCGGAGCACCAGACUGCCUUCCACAUCUACUUUGCUCACAGGGUGAAGACACCAAUCAUGUACCCUCUACAGGUGCCGAAAGGGGCAGAGGAAAACGCAGCCGCCCAAAGGGCCACCACGAAACUCCUGAACUCCAAGAACCCAGUAAGAAGACCUGCUGAAUUAAGGAGCUACAGCCCAGCAGCCUGUUCGAAACCAGGUUUAUCAAGGUCGAUACCUGUAAUGGACGUUACUCGGAAGCACU
Molecule: long non-coding RNA, 325 nt
Organism: Dermacentor silvarum
Lineage: Eukaryota; Metazoa; Arthropoda; Arachnida; Ixodida; Ixodidae
Exons: 3
Source: RefSeq, a predicted model, not a curated record